RNAcentral lists this small RNA (425 nucleotides) under Arabidopsis thaliana (thale cress). Its description in RNAcentral is "ATSL028160". The record is from RNAcentral. Lineage: Eukaryota; Viridiplantae; Streptophyta; Magnoliopsida; Brassicales; Brassicaceae.
UGUAAAUUAUUUACUUGCAGUAAUAUUUUAGUAUCGAUUUUUAUGAUUAUGUCCCUAAUUUAAAUACCUUCUAGAUCCGCCAAUAACCAUGAACUGGUAAGGUUGACUAAAUAAAUUUUACGGGAUUUCUUUCCACUAUUAUUGUUUACUUUCUUCUUAUAACGGACUAGAUUUUAACCUGCGGUAUACCGCGGGACGAUUUAUUUUUUAAAAGUAGGAUAUAUUAAAACUUGCAAAUUUAAUUUUUACAAAAUAUUUAUAUUUUACAGUUUAUAAUUGUUACCGCAGUUUUUAGCUUAAAGUUUUAUAUUUUAUAGUUUAAUUUUAUAUAUAGUAACAUUAUACAUACCACAUAACAUUUUUGGUUUUAUAUAAUCUUUUCUAAAUUAGUAUGAUUUGAUAUGUUUAAUAUUAAUGGUCUUAAA